GGCAUCAAAUAUUUACAGACAGCAUUAAAAAUUAACCUCAGGAUGUGGCUGUUCCCAGAAGUCAGGGGUGAGGAGACGGAGGAGGCUGCCUCCGGGCACCAGCAACGGCCGCUCCCAGGCCAGCCCAGCUCCCGUGGCCCAGUCCCAGAGCCGCGGCAGCCUCCGCCCUGCGUCUGCCCAGGCCCCUGGCUGUAAGCCCUUUGGGGCUCCCAGUGGCCUGAAGGCAAGGACAGGCCCUCGGCUCAGCAUCCCCAGCCCUGGCCCUUCCUCUCUGGGACUCAGAUUUGCAGGAUGGAAAGGAAUGAAUCUCGCAGAUGGGAGGAGGCCAAGGUGGAAGUGGAGACAUUCCAGGAACCAAGGGCAGCAGCACGGAGCCCGCGCCCCUCCCCCUCCGCCUGAUUCUGCACUUUCCGGGACAGAGGGAAAGACGGGGAGUACUGUCGCCCCAUAGGACAGCAUGCCACAGCCACAGCCGCGGAGACGGAGACGCACUCUGCGGGAGGCCCAGCAGGGGUGGCUGGGGGACCAGGGCCGCUGGGGACACUGCACAGGAUCUCAGGACAACUGUUCUUCGUGCCCUUUUUUUUCUUUUGGUACCAGGGACUGAGCUCAGGGGCACUCGGCCACUGAGCCACACCCCCAGCCCUGUUUUGUAUUUUAUUUAGAGACAGGGUCUCCCUGAGCUGCUUAGCGCCUCACUUUUGCCGAGGCUGGCCUUGAACUCACCAUCCUCCUGCCUCAGCCUCCCAGCUGCGGGAUCGCAGGCUGCGCCUGGUCCUUCUUGCCUUUCUAUGGACGAGGAAACUGAGGUUCCGGAAGGUCACAUGACACACCCAAGUCGAGCAGCCAGUGCGCUUUCAGGUCCCAAGAGGCCUGUCCACUCAGCACAGUGCCCCACCUUCCCUCACUCUGCCCCUCGCGCUCUAGCCAGCUGCGUGACCCAUCAGCCUGUUGGGCUACAGGCAAAAUAAAAUUCCCUGGACAGGGCUCUAUACCCCCUUUUGAAAUCCCUUCCCCUUUCCCCCGGGGGGUAUCAGGGAUUGAACCCAGAGGCUCUUGACCACUGACCCACAUCUCCAGACCCACCCACCUACCCCCUUUGCGUUUUAUUCAGGGACAGGGGCUCAUUGAGCUACUUAGGGCCUCGCUAAGUUGCUGAGGCUGGCUUUGAACUCGCGAUCCUCCCGCCUCAGCCUCCCAAGCAGCUGGGACUACAGGCGUGGCCACCAACCAAGUUGCUAUUCCAUGCACUGCCCUUUGUAACCUCCCCACCGCGCCCCCAGCAGGACAGUCCACUGAGGCUGCAGGAGAAAGGAGACUCCUAGUUAGGUAAGCGCAGAGGCUGAACGAGUGUCAGCGGUGUGCCAAGUUCACAGGGAGCGAAGAGGCCGGGCCACAGUCAGCCUCCACCUGCUCCGGGGACAACAGGUAUCAGAGCCCCGGUGGGCUCAAACCCAGGCCCAGACAUGCCUUGCUGGUCCUGAUUGGCUCCCAGGGACCACGCCCCCAUCUCUGGGCCAUUCACUGUGCCAGGGGGUGGGGCACAGUAAAGGGCUCCUCCAAUCAGGGUUCACCCCUGAGGUGGGUGGAGCCGGGUGGGAGGGUCUCCGGAGCCUGGGCCCGCUGGGGAGCCGGCAGCGCCCGGUGGACUUCCCUACGGGGAAAGGGGCCGUCGCACCUGCUCCCGGCCUGCGGUGCCACUCGGAUGAGAGGUGCCGGCGCCCACGACCGUAAACGGGCAGAACUGCGCCGCGGCCACUGGGGUUGCUUUGUGCCCAGGGAGGAGUGCGCACCUGCAGAGCUGCUGUCGCCUGCUUCAGAAGGUGCAGAGCAGGGACACCAGGCUGCCUCCCCGAGGCCGUCGCACCCCUAUCAGCUGGGCGGCUGGAGGUGUUCCGAGAUGGCAUCCUUAGGCAGUGUCACCGUGGGCAUCGCAGAGGGCACUUGGGCUGUGAAAGGCAUUGUUGACCAUAGCGGCUUCGAGGGUCAUGGCCCAGGGAAUGUCGCACUGGCUCAGCUUGAUGAACUUCAGCUACCAAACUUCCCAACACCCAGGCGUCCUGGCACCGCGACACUCCAGACCCCCAGCCCCUGAGUUACUUUGGCCCAUUCUUGAGCUUAGCCGAGUGGAUUGGGACAGUAUGGCUGCAGGGCCUGGCCUGUCACCAUGAGGUCGGUCACUGGUGACCAAAAGGAGGCAGAUUGAAAGCUGCUGAACGAAGCUCUAUUGAGACUGGCUCCGGGCGAGACCCUGCACCCAGGCUCAGCUGGACUUGGACUUUUAUCGGGCUUAGGGCAGGAAGGGAGGUUGUAGGGUCCCUUGUCCUCCUGAGGUUGGUCGGGGAUCUUGCUGAGCUCCAUGUCCUUCCAAGGUUGGUGAGGAGACCCCGCUGAUUGACAGGUGGUCAUCACUGCUUGUCUGUGGGCGUCUGAUUGGUUGUUCUUUUGCGCAUGCGGGUUGCCUGGUGCUUUGUUCCCUCAGCCACGGCAAACCGACCUGACAGUCACACCAUGCUUUGUCCUUGUUGACUGCAGUGUGGCCUUCCCUUGUGUGGACGCUCCACAGAGUGUGCAUCCUGUCCCCUGAUGACUUGUGGGUCCUUUGCUCUGGGACCACAUGAACAGCUGCUCAGGUUGCCAGCAGACCCCGGGUGCAUGGCUCUUGGGACAGCACAGGUGUGUCAUAACAAGGUGCCACAAACCCAGUGGCCUAAAGCAACACAUGGUUAGCUUCCUGCCCUGGGCCAGGGCUUCCUCUGGAGACCCCGGGAUGGAUCCCUCGGCCCUGCCUUUCCCAGCUCCGGGAGGUGCCAGCCACGCCCCCCUCGGCAGCCGCCCUCUGCCCGGCUGCUGCCACGGCCACCUCUCCUUGACUCUGACCCUGCCUCCCUCCUGUGGCCCAGCCACAUGACCCCAGCAACCCCCAUCUCGAGACCCUGAGUGUCACCCCAGCCACAAAGCCCAUUUUGAUCUGUAAAGGGACAGGCACAGCUUCUGGGGAUUGGGGACAGGGAGAACAGUGGGUGUUGUGAUGGCACCUAUGCAUGUCCCGAGGGUGACAGGGCAGGCGCGGAUUCUGCCUUAGGACUUCCUGCCAAUCACUUUUACAAAGAGGCCCAGGCUGAGCCAUUUGGGUCCCACUCGAGUCACGGGAGAGCUCCUGCCGCGUCCCCUCGGGCGCUCACUGUGGGCAGCGUAGUCUUGGCCUCUCCCGUGGGCGCACAGGGGUGGCUCUGGGGGCCUCAGGCUCCUCUCUGCCCUUGGGCCACCUCACAGGCAGCACCACCUCCGAAGCCUCCAAGGACAGUCCCCAGGUCGCACCCUUGGGAUUGCCGGGCCUCCCGCCAGUUCUCAGCGUCCCCGCGCCCGCUGCCUGCUCCCUUUGCAGAACACAGCUGUCCCCACCUGGCACAUGUGGGGGAGCGCCUGGCCCCCAGGGCUACUGUCAGGGCUGAGUGUGGGAGCUGCUGUCAUCUUGUGUCGGGAGGGACGGUUGUCUGCAGCUCACCUGGCAAUCACUCAUGCUGGGCGGCACUCCCCUGCCUCAGCGCCCAUUGUUGCAGGCUCCCCAGGCGCGGAACUUUCAUUAUGAUUCAAAUUGCCAGGUGCUCAGCUUCUCCUCCCAGGGAUGCUGCAGACGCCAGCCCCCGGCCUGCCAGCUGCGCGGCUCCUCUUCCCGAUGCCAGGCUCCGCCUCGCAGGACUGCCUGCCCGCUGCCCGCUAGGCCUGCUGGUCCCCAGCCAGGUGGCCGUAUGGCCUGGUGCUCAGCGGCACAGACCGGAUCCUGGCUCUACCACUCACUCCAGGUGUGACCCUGGACAAGCUACGCAGCCUCUCUGAGCCCCAGGGUCCCCAAGCUGUGCGGAUCAUGGUCCCCAGCUCUCAGGGUGGCUGCCGUGGGGACAAGGCUCAGAACAGUGCCCGGCUCAGAAGAAAGGCCCAGCACAGUGGCCGAACUCCCAGCCUCUGAUAGAACCAGCGACGGUCUUCCCUCGGCUCCCAGGGCCCCAGGUCCAGCAGGUGCCCGUGCCCGGCAGUUGAGGGCCUAGCCCCUCUCCAGAUGCCCCCUGCCGGGAAUGUCUCGGGCCACCCACAGCCACCACUGUGACCCUCCACGUGGCCUGACCAGGACGCUCCCUCCUCCUGGUGUACUCCUGGCUAACUGCUCGGGGUCAGCACCCUGGAGACUGCCCCGACCUCCUCCCAGGCCAGGACCUGUGGGACCCUCGGGAGCCCAGACCCUGGAACAUGCCACUCCUGCUUUGGGGUCCUGGUGUGGCUCCAGCUCAGCUCUCAAGGGCAGGGCGUGACUCGGUUCCAGGACCCCAGCACCCAGCCCUGGCCUGGACGGAGAGGACAUCACAGCAGCCAGUUCUGCAAGCCCAGGGGACCUGUCGGUGGCCAGCACCUGGUCUCCACGGGGCUGAUUGACAGUGAGGGGCGUGUGACCAGCAAGGUGUCCGAGAGGACAGGCGGCCCCACAGCAGGGCCAGGGGCUCUCGGUUACAGAAGCCGACAGUCGCUCAGGGACUUUCCCUGCUCCCAUGGGUACUGCACGGCUGGGGCAGGUCGCCAUGGAAACAGAACAAAAAACUGGCCUCGGCCAAGGAUUCCCUCCGGAAGGCGGUGUGCUGACCGCGUCCCCAGAGCGGAUGGGCUAACGGCCAGGCCACAUCCAGGUGGGCCAGCCGCAGCUGUUCCCAGCAGAGGGCCGUCCACAGUGGCACGAGUCCCGCGGCCCGCAGGAAGGGGGUCCUGCCGGCCUAAAGUCCUAUCAGGCGGGUGCCCAAGGCCCUGAGAGCCAGGCACUUGCCCAGGGUCACCAGCCCGUGAAACGCAGGACUGGGAUCUGAGCAGACCCCGACUUUGAGGCCAGUGUCACCACCACUCAGUGUGCCCAGGCCGGUGGGAGUCGGCUGUGCCCAGGGGGCGCUUGGCGAGUGGGUCCUGAGGAUGUGGGGGAGGUAAAGUAGGGUCGUGUGCCCCGGGCAGCGUGGCGAGAACUGGGCGUCCUGCAGAGCGGAGGUCAUGAUGGAGGUACCUGGGAAGAGGUCCUGAGGUCCCCGCCGAGGGCUAAAACUGCGCCUCGAGGGAAACCUGAGUAGAGCGAGAUCUUUCUAAUGUUGCUGAUUUUGAAAUAUUUCAUUUGGUUCAAAAUAAGAUGCAUAAAAAUGUGGAUAAAAAGCAUAAACGAUAAGAAAGCAGCCCAGGUCCCCGCGCAGCACGAGAGCCAGGCCAAAGCCACCAAGGCCCCCCACCCUCUCCACCUGGCGCUCCGAGGUCCAGAGCGCGUGUGCCUCUCGGGCAUGACUGACUGCAGCAGCUGGUGCCCUCCAGGGAGGUCCCCGAGGAAGGCUGGGGGCUGAGGCCCAGCGGCAGGGCGGCCAGGAGGAGGCUCAGAGGAGUGGGGGACGCGGCCUCCCCCAGGAGGAGCCGAUUCUCCACCGCAGCCGCGAGCUGAGCAGGAGGGAGACGCUCAUGCCGGGCGGGCGAGGAGGCCAGGCUGAGGCCCCGUCCCCAGCCCCCAGGGGAGACCAGGCUGAGGCCCGACAGACCUGGCUCCCUGACAAGCCUCCUCUCUCUUCCACCGCCCCUCAGUCCCUGGGGCUCCCGGUCCCUGCCCCUCCCAGGCCAGCGUCACUCUCCAGGGCUGUGGGCACCACCACCCAGGCCUGGGCAGAGAACCCGUCCAGGGCACUUGGUCCCCUUCCCUUUCCCGCCCCUGUGCCUGUGAGGCAGAGGUGGGGGUUCUCAUGUCGGGGGCCUAAGCUAGAAUCCUGACGUGGAGGCCCACACCAGAGGUCGGCAGAACCCUGAGUCAUCUCCUGUUUUGUCACCUAUGCUUCUGUUCAUGUGACCCCAUCCCUCCCUGACACACCCGAUGCCAUGCGCAGGUCCCUGGAGCAGGACGCCCUGCUGUCCCCAGGCUUCCCUGAGCCUCUCUGGCUGAUCCCCCCAAGGUCACCUGAUUCCACGUUUCCACCUGAGAACCAGGCGGGGGUGAGGGGGGGGGACGGGCCCUGACCUCCUCCUGGCGUCCCCCCACCCCCCGCGGGACGUCAUGCUGUUUUCCAGACCUGCGGCCCAGUCCCCAGGCUUGGUGGCUUUUCACACCGCAGAUCUAGAAGGCCGGGCUGGUCCCACCCUCCUGGUCCCCGGCUCCCGCGUCAGUGGCCACAAUGGGACAUCGCAGUGUCCUGGGCCACCACACCCGUCACCCCACUCUCCACGCCCACUCCUGCCCCCUCCCUGGUGGGGUCUCCCGGGGUCUCUGCCGCUCUCUGCUGUCACAUGGCCGCAGUGUCCUCGAGGGCCUGGUUCUAGGGCCCCGCGGACGUGGGCAUCCCUGGAAGCCCAAGUCCUUGUUGACAGGGACCUACGCAUGGCCCCGGGUCCUCCUGACCCCCAGCAGAGUCAAGGCUGAAUCGUGGCCACGCUGCGCGGCCCCGGGUUCGGGGGCCCUGGGCACAGCCAUGUCCAGCACAUCUCCUUUCAAACGCUGGCUGGGCCACCUGCUGCCUCACGCUGCCUGUCACCCCGCGUCACGUCUGGGUGGCGUGUCCCCUUCGUCACUUGCGUGCCCACCUUUCGAAUCAAGUCCUCACUGGGGCUGAUGUGAUGGCUGUCGGGGGACAGUGCACCAUCUUAGGAACUUUGUUGUCACUUAGUGACCGACUGCUUUGGGCACAGCUUUAGGUUUUCAGGAAAAUGGAGCCGAAAGCGCAGGGUUUCCUGCCCCCUCCCCUCCCCCCCACCGCGGUUUCCACAUCACCAGCGUCUUGCGUUUCUGUGGCUCGUCUGUGACAAGGUGACAGGGCACGCGUUACACCACGGCUGGGACCUGAGGGGCUCCUUCCCCCACUGCUUCUGCCGGCAGCAUUCAGAUCACACAGGACAGGCCAAGUCCAGGCCUGGGGUAGACAGGCUGCCUGCGCUCACCCGUGUGCUGUGUGAGCUAGGGCAUCGUGCUGAGCCUCUCUGGGCCUCAGUUUCCUUCUCUGUGCAACAGGACUUACUCAUGAGGCUCUGGUGAGGAUUAAAUGAGUGAUCUCUAUGGAGAGCUCAGAGCAGCGUCCAGCACAAAGUGGGUGCUCAGUAAGUACUUUUGAAAGUGUGAAUCUCCAGUUUACAUUACAUGGGUGGGGGAUGCAGGAGGGACAUGCUUCUCCGGCACCCCCUGCCCCCACUGCGAGUUCUCAAGGCUUGGAUGACACAGAAAACUCAGCCCAGAAGCCCUGCCCUGAGGAUCCAACUGCACCAAGACCUGAGCGCUGAGAAAGUGAGCCCUGCAUAGAGGCCCGGGGGCCUUCUAGACAGCAGGCCAGCAGGUGCAAAGGUCCUGUGGCAAGAGCACCAGAGAUGCUGGGGACCCCCAAGGUGGCCCGUGUGGCUGCAGAGGUGUGACGAGGGGCAUAACAGGAGACAGGUCGGAACGCAGCCAGGCAGCCUGGAGAGCACCAAGGCCGUUAGAGGAUUCUGAGCAAAAGAGACAAUAAAUAUUUGUUCUGAGCGUUAGGUGGCCCGGGA
Marmota monax (woodchuck) is the source of this 7527-nucleotide long non-coding RNA. RefSeq lists it as uncharacterized. NCBI's taxonomy places the organism in Eukaryota, Metazoa, Chordata, Mammalia, Rodentia, Sciuridae. The transcript is spliced from 2 exons. The record is from RefSeq and is a predicted model, not a curated record.